UACCAUUUCGAGGCGGCAUAGUCGUCACCCCCUCGCGAACAUGAUUCAUCGACGUCGGCGCGGAAUUAUGCCAAUUAGCAGCAGACACGACGAACUUCGUGCCACGAUGCGCGGAUUGUCUUAAACGUGGUGUACGUAUCGGGACUGGUGGCGAGAUUUGGAGAUUUGUUAUAAUUGACUUGUCUGCUCUUUGUUGGAGUUUCGUGUCUUGGCUUUCGCUACGCGUUGUUCUUGUACGCGUGCGAUUUGUAUUAAUUGAAAAUUUGCUUAAAAUUUCGGAUGCUUUGGAUUUUUCUUGUUAAAUGAACGGAUGGAGAAGUGAUUUUUCGAGAGAAAUGGAAUAUAUUAAUAACUGGAAUGAAAGUAAUUGUGAAAAUAUUUAAAUACAGUCGCAAGAGGAAUCGUUUGAAAUUUAAAGAAGAAAUUUUUAAAAAUUUUUUAAAUCUUUUAUGAUUUGGUGGGCGUAAUUUAAAAAUAUAAUUGGAAGAGAACUCUUUGAGAGGGUGAAAUCCACCUUCGAUGUUUCUUUCGUGCUUUAAAUAAAUAUUUAUUUUUAUCUGGAAAUAUUUUUUAUAACAAGAUGACAGAGAGAGCAUUUGAUUAUAUUUAAAAUUUUUCUCUAUCUCGUAUCAUUACAAAGUUACAGUUUUAAAAAACGAAAAGAAAAAAAUACUGAAAUUUUAAACAUUCAUUUCAUCUCCUCGAAAUGAUAUUCCGUUAAAAAAAAUUGUUCCAUACGUAUACUGUACAUACUCAGAAAAUUUAAUUAAAAAUGGAAUUUUUGUUGACUUUAAUUGUACAAUUAGUUAGUUGAGACUUUUUUUCAGACCGAAAAUGCGUAUGAUUACGUUUAUGUCUGAAUAAAUAUCAAUAUUAAUUUUUUUUAAAAGCUCCUUCUACCUACAACUGCAAAAAUAAAAACUUUCCGCGCCAGAAUUUUCACAGAAUUUUGUGCCAAUUGUGGAAACAAAAAUUCUUCGAAAUCAGAAUUUCAAUUUAACUCUGAUAUUAAUUAAUCCCCAUUCAAUUAUAUCAAGAAAGUAAUCUAUUGAAUCCGUUUUUCGAAUAACAAGACAACAAUCUUCAAGCCUCUUUUUUUUCCUUCUCAAUUUAUUAUUCAAAACAUGGACAUCUAUUAUCGAUACAGAACGAUAACCGGUUAAUUACCCAUACAGAUAUUCAUAGAUUCGUUCUCGGAUCGAAUUUCAUCUCCAGGAAAACAAGAAGAAAAGAAUCGAACAUCCAUUCUCGAGAAGUAGUUCCCUCUUCCGCGGACAACAAUUAAGUUACGAGGAACGAGCGAAGUUCAGAAGGGAAGGAGUUGAAAUAAACAACCAAAACAAAUCUUGAAACGAAACAAAUCGGGCGAAGACCACUUCUCCAGGAUACCUCAGUAGUUAUCAAUUAUCAUCGAGUGUUGUAUCGAUAUCGAAUUAAAAUCAGAGAAACUAUCCCCGGACGAGAGAUCUCGACCGCUUGAAACAGCUUGAAAGGGCCGUUGGAACGGGAGCUCGAGAUAAUUUUAACAAUCCAAUGAUUAAACGUUGCCCAUCCUCGUUCAUCGUUCCGAUUCGAUCGGAUCGUGAAUUUCUACGAGUGCUAACGCGUGAAGAAGCAAAACGUGUGUCGAUGUUUUAUUAAUAAUAGGACCAGGAUUGGAGGCUGGGUUGAAGAGGGUCGCUGGGGAUUGGAACGGAUCCAACAGGAUUUAACGGAAGAAGAUUUCAAACCUGACGCGUGUAGAACGGCUUUAUUUCAUCUUUAAUACCGAGGACACUGUGAAAAAUUAAAAUUGAAGAUACACCGCGUGAGAGUUAAUAGAAAUCACGAUUGUUUCCUAAUAGCGAGAAAAAAGAUCCGAAAACUGAGAGCAUUAGAAUAAUUUUUAUCGUAUUAUAAUUAUUAUCCUAUAUCAGAAAGACACUGUUAUCUCAAGUCUUUAUUAAAAUUCUCGAGAAACCUAUCUUACACAUUCGCCCCUAUUAUUCGAAAUUAUGGUUAAGGAGUCUUGUUAGCUCGCACUUUGACAAUCGGUUGCUUCAACAUACCUUGAAGGAACAGAAAGGUUCGACCAUUAGCGCAGAAUUUAUAUAAGAGCAACUACAGACAUCUUCGAACGGACAAAGGGGUCGAUAAGGAUCUCGAAGAGAUCUGGGGGUCCAUUCGUCGCGAAUAAGAAUUCGAAAAAAGAGGGAACCGUCGAAUGCAAAUUGCGCGUGGGGAAAGGAAAGGUACAGCGAAAUGAUACACGGCACGACUGGGAAAUGGGCACAGUUUUGCAUGGUGUUUGGUUAAAUUUAUUAUACCAAGGCAGGAUCGAAUUAUCGAGAAACCGUUUCUGUAUCCUUUUCACGAAAGUAGAUCUAUCUUGUUGCGCGCUCUGUUUAACAUUUGAAAUAUUUCGUUUCAUUUUUUUGAAAUUUCCUCUUUUGAUAAAUUUAUGAAGAAAGUCACUCGAAAAAUUACGUGGAACAGCCUAUUAAAAAAUAACACAAUUUGAUAUAUCACUCGAAAAGAAUCUAUGUUCCGCGUUUUUUCGUCGCAUCCUUCAUUCUUUGAAAGAAAUUGCGAAGAGGAGAAAAAAAUAAAUUGAAAUACUCGAGAGGAUAAUGGAAGGAAAUUAAGAUGGAGGAAGGAACCGAGGACAGUGUGCAUAGACGCGUGGUUGCGAAAGAUGAAUGGGGGUCGACGAAGGGAUGGAAACUCGAGGGGUGCAAAUGAAUGAAUGACUGACUUGACCGCAGUAAAAUGUACAACCGUGCCCCCAACCGCCAUUUUUUCCUUCUAGAAUUCGUAUUCGCCGACAGUACUAGGACGUGUUCAAUGGGCCGUGUGUUUUUGUUCUAUGGGCACGAUUCAUUGUUUUGACUGAAAUAGAGAGUGACGUUUACUGCGACAGGUUGAGGAAAACAAUGUAAGGUGCAAAGAUACGGCUAUGAAUCUUUCGUCGACGUCAGUUUGUAUAUUGUUAUAUUCCAGCUAAUUGUUCUAUGACAAAAAUUGGGAUUAUUUUGAAAAUUGGAAGAAAGCUUUACUUCCAUUGAUUAACAUAUUUUAUUUUAGGAAGACGAUAAAUUAAAAGAAUAUAGUCGUGAAAGAGGCAAGAUAAAUCUAACUGUAAAAGAUGUAGAAUUAAAUCAUAUCUAGAAAAUUUAAAAA
Apis cerana (Asiatic honeybee) is the source of this 3159-nucleotide long non-coding RNA. RefSeq lists it as uncharacterized. The record is from RefSeq and is a predicted model, not a curated record. Lineage: Eukaryota; Metazoa; Arthropoda; Insecta; Hymenoptera; Apidae.